This 410-nucleotide ribosomal RNA is filed under the name Escherichia sp. E4208. RNAcentral's name for it is "partial 23S ribosomal RNA". It matches the Rfam family "Bacterial large subunit ribosomal RNA", at positions 2533 to 2925 of the family's 2925-position model. Lineage: Bacteria; Pseudomonadati; Pseudomonadota; Gammaproteobacteria; Enterobacterales; Enterobacteriaceae. The record is from RNAcentral.
CGGCUCAUCACAUCCUGGGGCUGAAGUAGGUCCCAAGGGUAUGGCUGUUCGCCAUUUAAAGUGGUACGCGAGCUGGGUUUAGAACGUCGUGAGACAGUUCGGUCCCUAUCUGCCGUGGGCGCUGGAGAACUGAGGGGGGCUGCUCCUAGUACGAGAGGACCGGAGUGGACGCAUCACUGGUGUUCGGGUUGUCAUGCCAAUGGCACUGCCCGGUAGCUAAAUGCGGAAGAGAUAAGUGCUGAAAGCAUCUAAGCACGAAACUUGCCCCGAGAUGAGUUCUCCCUGAGACUUUAAGUCUCCUGAAGGAACGUUGAAGACGACGACGUUGAUAGGCCGGGUGUGUAAGCGCAGCGAUGCGUUGAGCUAACCGGUACUAAUGAACCGUGAGGCUUAACCUUACAACGCCGAAG